Molecule: long non-coding RNA, 270 nt
Filed under: Pan troglodytes (chimpanzee)
Lineage: Eukaryota; Metazoa; Chordata; Mammalia; Primates; Hominidae
Description: long non-coding RNA NONPTRT018431
Source: RNAcentral
CCCUCAUAGCAGGGUUACAGAUGCUCUCAGAGCAGCUCUUCUCCAUGGAUGCGGUCCUGACAUCGAUGAUUUUCUAUUAUUAUUCCAGUAAUAAGCUGUGUAGUAGAAAAGGAAAGACAACUUUUCUACCCAGUGAGAAGCAUACAAUUGGAUCCAAAAACUCAUAAACUUUAUAUUGCCAUGUGAAAUAUUAGUUGCACUGUUAUGGGACCAUAUUUUCAAAAAAGUUUGAGAAAAUUUCUGUAGAGAUUAUGAAGACAAUACUCUUAU